This 594-nucleotide long non-coding RNA is filed under the name Coffea arabica (coffee). Its description in RNAcentral is "long non-coding RNA (CARA_LNC006666)". Lineage: Eukaryota; Viridiplantae; Streptophyta; Magnoliopsida; Gentianales; Rubiaceae. The record is from RNAcentral.
GAGAAGCUGAGGCGGCCCAUUUAUACAUUUACCCUACCAAGGCCUGGCUAAAGAUACCACAGGCAGGUUUGUAGAACAAUUUAUUUGGUGUAUCAAGAUGAAGCAUCACUCAAAGAACAAUCAAUUUGGUGUAUCAAGGUGAAGCAUCACAAGAGGAGUACGUGAAAACUAAUGUCAUGUCUCACAAUGCAAUCAAUUGAAGGUCUCUUAGAAAACUGAUGGUAGGAUGCCUCAAUUUGUGGAUGUGCCUUUCAUCAUUCCUGUCAAGAACUCAUUCAUCAAAGUAUCCAUUCUUGAUUCAUUUACUCCAAACUUCCUAGUACCACAAAUUACAUUAAACAUGCGAAAAAGUCCACAGUUUUAUGGCUCUGACAGCUCUUUUCUCCUUUAGGCUGUCUCUGCUUCUGUUAAGAUUGAGGAAGGUCUUUGCUUUCAUUCCAUUGUAAACAAUGCUAUUUGGCCAAAGAUGCUGAGAGCAGAAAGUGGAAUCUGUGAUAAAAGAUUUUAAUUUUAUUAAGGAAGAAGACAUCGAAUCCCAAAGAAACUAUUGAGAUUGGUUUAAUCUUCUGGGGCAGAAAGAUUUUGACACACAGU